This 11014-nucleotide long non-coding RNA is filed under the name Homo sapiens (human). Its description in RNAcentral is "HSALNT0107580". Lineage: Eukaryota; Metazoa; Chordata; Mammalia; Primates; Hominidae. The record is from RNAcentral.
GUCCUGGGCCAUGGGUGAAUCCUUUGAACUUAAUGCAGAGAAUGUCUUGUUCUCUUUGGUUUCCAGCAAGAUGCAUCAAACCUUACCAUAGCAUGGCUAGGACCCAACCCGGUACCAGAAAUAAAGAAAAUGGCCCUGCAGGACCCACAGCCCUGGACAAUGUGGCUUCCUCAGAUGACACAGGCCGACACAGGCCCCAGACGUAAUGCUGAAGAAGACAAGUCAGAAGACUGAGCGAAUCCUGCCCCGGACACAGACACCAUUCACUCCAGAUAAUUUGUUCCUUGCUAUGCUUUAUUAACCUUUUUUAAUUCUCUCACUCUGCCUGCAACCAGUACCUGCUACACUCUAUUGGGUCCAUCUUCUAAAUCUGCCUUUCUUCCACCCUGUUACCUGGGCAGACACCCACUUCCCAGCCUCUAGUAAUGUAACUGCUUGGCUGGAAGGGGUUAACAUACCCCCAGUGGGGUUCCUUAGUAACGACACACAUUGAACUGAGGUGCCAAGUAACACUACAUGUUACUCCUUCAUUGGAAAAGAAUGUUGCUGAUUAUACUCAUGUAUGUCUUGUUUACUAAUUCUAGGAUGCAAAGCCAGAAGACAAGCAGUGACCACUAUGCCUAAUAAGCCUGUUGCUGCACACAUCUGUACUCUUCAUUCAACAAAACAUGAUGCAAAAAACAGGAAAAGGGGCAGACGUAGGAGAUUGGUCAGGGUGGUGGGAAAAGUUAUAAAAAUUACAGGAGAACCACAAACUUUCUUGGAAGGCUGGGAGGUUUUGCAAAAGCUUCUAAAGAAAAUUUGGCUGAAGGCAGCUUAAUUCUCUCAGGGUAGAUAACAAGAAAGUAUAAGAGAAUUGAUCUAGAUAAUUAGUUUACUUAGGUCUUGGAACCUGGCCUUUAAUCAUCUGCAGGCAGGACUGCUCUCUCAGUGGGGAGGGGGUGACCAUGUUAAUUACCCACAAGUUGUGUUGACUCAAAGCCUUUGUUAUUAAAUCUGUACUAAAUAAAUGCCCGCAGCGCAGGCUUGUUGGGACUACGACUAUAUACAGCACCUUCCUCGGUGUCUAUGAGCAGCCCGGUCCCCUAGCCGCAGGCCCAAUCAAAAAACCUGUGUCUACGUACAUUUUUUUCAUUUGUCACUUGGCCAGGGUCUGUGGGUCAAACCCGGCAUAUCUUGACUGUAGCACUAUCAAUGUCCUGGCUAGGAUGUGGUACUAUAGUUUUGUAAGGUGUCACCACUGGGAAAGUGAUACAUGGAAUCUCUAAUUCUUGUUUUGAAACAUUUAUUGUAUAAUAUAAUUCACACACCAUGUAAUUCACUCAUUUAAAGUGUACACUGCCAUGAUUUUUAGUAUGUUCACAGAUAUGUACAAUUAUCACCACAAUCAAUUUUGGAAUUUUUUUAUCACCACAAAAUGAAACCUUGUACACUUUAGCUAUCAUCCUCCUAUCCUCAUGUAACCCUCCACAACUGUAAGCAACCACUAAUCUCUUUUCUGUCUAUGUAGAUUUCCCUCUUCUGGAUGCUUAAUAUGAAUGGAAUCAUAUAAUAUGUGGUAUUUGUGACUGGUUUAUUUCACUUACCAUGUUUUGAUGGUUCAUCCAUGUUGUAGUAUGCAUCAAGCAUUUUAUUCCUUUUUAUGGCUGAAUAAUACUCUAUUAUGUAUGAACAUACCACAUUUUAUUUACCUAUUCAUCAGUUAAUGAACAUUUGAGUUGUUUCCACCUACUGGCUAUUAUGAAUAAUGCUGUGAUAAACAUUCACAGACAAAUUUUUGAGUGAACAUGUUUGCACUUCUCUUGAGUAUGUAUCUAGGAGUGGAAUUGCUGGGUCAUAUGGUAACUCUAUGUUUAAUCAUUUGAGGAACUGCCAAAUGGCAUUCCACAAUGGCUGCAUCCUUUUAUAUUACCACCAUCAGUGUUUUAGGUUUAGUAUUUCUCCACAUUCUUGUGAACUCCAGUUAUUACCUGAUUUUUAAAUUCUAGCUAUCCUUGUGCUUGUGAAGUGGUAUUUCAUCAUGGUUUUGAUUUGCAUUUACCUGAUGAUGAAUGAUAUUUAACAUAUUUCCAUGUGCUUAUUGGCUGUUUAUAUAUCUUUCGUGCAGAAAUAUCUAUUCAGAUCAUUUGCCCAUUUUUAAAUUGGGUUGUCUUUUUAUUAUUGAGUUGUAAGGGUUCUUUAUAUUCUGGAUACAAGUCUUUUACCACAUAUAUAAUUUGUAAAUAUUUUCUCCAUUGUCUUCUCUUUAUCAAUGGUAUCCUUUGAAGCAAAGAAGUUUUUUUUUCUUUAUUUUUUGUUUUGUUUUGUUUUUGAGACAGGGUCUCACUCUGUCACCCAGGCUGGAGUGCGGUGGCAUGAUCAUAGCUCACUCCAGCUUUGACCUCCCCAGGCUCAGGUGAUCCUCCCACCUCAGCUUCCUGAGUAGGUGGGACUACAGGUGUGCACCACCAUGCCUGGCUAAUUUUUGUAUUUUUUGUAGAGACAGGAUUUCACCAUGUUGCCCAGGCUGGUCUCAAAUCCUGGGCUCAAGCAAUCUGCCUGUGUUGGCCUCCCAAAGUUGUGGGAUUACAGGCAUGAGCCACUGUGCCUGGUUAGCACAGAAGUUUUACAUCUUGAUGAAGUGCAAUUUAUUUUUUAUUUUGUUGCUUGUGCUUUUGGUGUCCUAUCUAAAAAUUAUUUCCCAAAUUCAGUGUCAUGAAGAUAUACCUCUAUGUUUUCUCCAAAGAGUUUUAUAGUUUUCACCUCUUACAUUUAGGUCCUUGAGCCAUUUUGAGAUAAUUUUUUUUUUUUUUUUUUUUUUUUUGCGAUGGCAUCUUGCUCUGUUGCCAGGCUGGAGGGCAGUGGCGCGAUCUCGGCUCACUGCAACCUCCGACUCCUUGGUUCAAGUGAUUCUCCUGCCUCAGCCUCCCAAGUAGCUGGGAUUACAGGCAUGCACCACCAUGCCCAGCUAAUUUUUGUAUUUUUAGUAGAGAUGGGGUUUCACUAUGUUGGCCAGGAUGGUCUCGAUCUCCUGACCUUGUGAUCCAUCUGCCUUGGCCUCCCAAAGUGCUGGGAUGAGACAGUUUUGUAUAUGGUGUGAGCUAAGUUCCAGCUUCAUUCAUUUGUAUGUGGCUGUCCAGUUUUCCCAGCACCAUUUGUUGAAAAGACUAUUCUUUCCCAUUGGACAGUCUUGGCACCCUUGCUAAAAAUGAGUUGACCGUGGAUGUAUGGAUUUAUAUCUGGACUCUCAGUUGUAUUACAUUGAUGUGUAUGUCUGUCCUUGUGCCAGUACGACACUGUUUUGAUUGCCAUUGCUUUGUAGUAAGUUUUAAAACUGGUGAGUCCUCCUACUUGAUCUUUUACAAGAUUGUCUUGGCUAUUCUGGGUCCCCUUCAGUUCCAUAUGAAUUUUAGAACCCGUUUGUCAAUAUCUACAAAGAAGUUAUUCUGAUAGGGAUUUGGAUAGGGAUGACAUUGAAUUUGUAGAUCAAGGUGGAGAAUUUUGUCAUAUAAUGAUGUUAAAUCCUCUGACACAUGAACAUGGGAUAUUUUUCCAGUUAUUUAGAUCUUUAAUUUCUUUCAACAAUAUUUUGUAGUUUUUCAGAGUAUAAAUUUAGUAAUUCUUUUCUUAAAUUUAUUUUGAUGCUAUUAUAAAUGGAAUUCUUAAUUUCAUUUCUGGAUUAUUCAUUGUGACUGUAUAGAAAUACAUUUGAUUUUCAUAUAUUAGUUUUUUUGUUUGUUUGACACAUUGUCUCACACUGUCGCCCAGGCUGGAGUGCAGUGGCAUGAUCUUGGUUCACUGCAACCUCUGCCUCCAGGGUUCAAGCAAUUCUCUUGCCUCAGCCACCCGAGUAGCUGGGGUUACAGGCACGUGCCACCAGGCCUGGCUAAUUUUUGUAUUUUUAGUAGAGAUGGGGUUUCGCCAUGUUGGCCAGGCUGGUCUUGAACUCUUGAUCUCAAGUGAUCUGCCUGCCUUGGCCUCCCAAAGUGCUGGUAUUACAGGCAUGAGCCACUACGCCAGGCCAAUUUUCAUAUAUUAGUCUUGCAUCCUGCAGCCUUGUGAAGCUUGUUUUUGGGUCUUAGUUUUUUUUUUUUUUUUUUUUUUUUAGUUAAUUCCCUGGGAUUUUCUAUAUACAAUAUUAUGUCAUGUAUGAAUAGUUUUACUUUUUCCUUUUCAAUAUGGAUGCCUUUUGUAUCUUUUUGUUUGUUUGUUUGUUUUUGAGAUGGAGUCUCACUCUUGUUGCCAGGCUGGAGUGCAAUGGCAUGAUCUCAGCUCACUGCAACCUCCGCGUCUCCCAGGUUCAAGCGAUUCUCCUGCCUUAGCCUCCCAAGUAGCUGGGAUUACAGGCGCCCACCACCAUGUCCGGCUAAUUUUUUUGUAUUUUUAGUAGAGACGGGGUUUUACCAUGUUGGUCAGGCUGCUCUCAAAUUCCUGACCUCAGAUGAUCUGUCCACCUUGACCUCCCAAAAUGCUGGGAUUACAGGCAUGAGCCACCACGCCUGGCUGCCUUUCAUAUCUUUUUAUUGCCUAAUUGCCCUGGCUAGAACCUCCAAUUCAUUGUUGAAUAGAAGCCUCAAAGAGGACAUCCUUGCCUUGUUCCUGAUCCUAGGGGGAAAGCAUUUAGUCUUUAAAUAUGAUGGUAGCUUUGGGUUUUUCAUAGAUGUCCUUUAUCAGGUUGAGGAAGUUUCCUUCUCUUCUUAGUUUAUUGACUGUUUUUAUCACAAAAUGGUGUUGGAGUUUGUCAAAUACUUUAUCUGCAUCUAUUAAGAUGAUCAUGCAAUUUUAAUUUGUUAUUGAUAGAAUAGAAUGUAUUACAUUAAUAGAUUUUUGUAUGCUAAACCAGCCUUGCAUUCCUGGGAGAAGUUUCACUUGGUCAUGGUGUAUAAUGCUUUGUAUAUAUUGCUGAAUUUGGUUUUGUAGUAUUUUGCUGAGGAUUUUCAUGUCUAUAUUUAGAAGAGAUAUUGGUCUGUAAUUUUCUUUUUUUGUGGUAUCCUUCUCUAGUUUUGUCAUUAGUGUAAUACUGACUUUAUUUUAUACAUAAAUUCAUAAAUUGCAUAUAUUUAUGGUGUACAGUAUGAUGUUUUGAAAUAUAUUGACUUCAUUAAAAUGAGGUCAAUAUUACUAAUCCCAAAACUAGAAAAGGAUAUCACAAGAAAAGAAAAUUGGGAAAUAUUCCUGUUCUUCUGCUUUUUGGAAGAGCUUGUGAAGAAUUUGUAUUAAUUUUUUGUUACAUGUCUGGUAGAAUUCAUUGGUGAAGAAUUCAUUGCACUUGGGCCUCAGCUUUCCUUCAUGGGAAAGUUUUUGAUUACUGAUGGAAUCUCUACUUGUGAUAGCUCUAUGAAAGUUUCUGUUUCUUCUUGAGUCAGUUUUGGUAGCUUGUGUCUUUCUAGGAAUUUGUCCAUCUUGUCUAAGUUAUCUAAUAUAUUGGUGUACAGUUGUUCAUUGUGUAUUUUGUAAUCUUUUUUUAUUUCUGCAAGGUCGGUAGAAAUGAACCCUCUUUCAUGUUUUAUCUAGUAAUUUCAGUCUUCUAUUCUUCUUGGCUAGUCUAAGAUAAAGGUUUGUCUAUUUGUUGAUCUUUUUAAAGAACCAGCUUUUGGUAUCAUUGAUUUUCUCUAUUACUUUCCUAUUCUUUAUUUUAUUAAUUUUUACUCUGUUCUCUACUAUUUCCUUCCUUCUGUUUGCUUUAGAUUUUGUUUGCUAUUCCCCCCAGGGGUUAAGGGUGGAAUGUUAGGUUAUCAAUUGAAGAUCUUCUGUCUUUUGUUUAGAUAUUUAUUUAUUUAUUGAGACAGGGUCUCACUCUGUCGCCCAGGCUGGAAUGCAGUGGCGCAGUCUUGGCUCAAUACAACCUCAACCUCUUGCACUCAUGUGAUCCUCCCACCCCAGCCUCCUGAGUAGCUGGGACUACAGGCGUGCACCAUCAUGCCUGGCUAAUUUUUGUAUUUUUUUGGUAGAGACAGGGCUUCACCAUGUUGCCCAAACUGGUUUCGAACUCCUGAGCUCAAGCAUCCACCUACCUUGACCUCCCAAAGUGCUGGGAUUACAGGUUGGUGUAAGCCACCGCACCCAGUGUCGGGAUGUUUUUUUUUUUUUUUUUGAGACAGAGUUUCACUCUUGUUGCCCAGGCCGGAGUGUGAUGGCGCGAUCUUGGCUCACCGCAACCUCCGCCUCCCGGGUUCAAGCAAUUCUCCUGCCUCAGCCUCCUGAGUAGCUGGGAUUACAGGCAUGUGCCACCACACCUGGCUAAUUUUUUAUUUUUAGUAGAGACAGGGUUUCUCCAUGUUGGUUGUUGGUCAGGCUAGUCUCAAACUCUGGACCUCAGGUGACCCGCCCGCCUCGGCCUCCCAAAGUGCUGGGAUGACUGCCUGGCCAUGAGAUCUUUUGUCUUUUAAAAAAAUGAUUUAUUGUUUAAAUUGACAAAGAUUGCAUAUAUUUAUGGUGUACAAUAUUACAUUUGAAAUAUAUGUAUGUUGUAGAAUGGCUAAAUGAAGCUAAUUAAUAUGGGUAUUACUUCACAUACAUUUGUCAUUCUUAAUAUAGGCAUUUAUAGUUAUAAAUUUUCCUCUAAGUGCUGCUUUAGCUGCAUCCCAUCAGUUUUGGUAUGUUGUGUCUUUAUUUUCAUUCAUCUCAGAAUAUUUUUUAUUCUUUUGCUUUCUUCUUUGAAUCAUUUGUUAUUUAGAAGUAUGUUACUUAAUUUCCACAUAUUUGUGAGUUUCCCAAACUCUUUCCUGUUAUUGAUUUUUAAGUUCAUUCCAUUUUGGUCAAAUAAUCUAUUCCGUAUGGAUUUUAUUUUUUAAAAUGUAUUAUUUUAUGGCCUAGCAUAUGAUCUAUCCUAGAGAAUGUUCCAUGUGCAUUUGAGGACAAUGUAUAUUGUGUUGUUGGGUGGAGUGUUCCAUAGAUGUCUCUUGAUUCUAGUUAGUUUAUUGUGUUGUUUUCUAUUUCCUAGUUGAUCUGCUAUCUAUGUUGAGAGUGAGUUAUUAAAGUCUUCAACUAUGAUUGUUGAAUUAUCUAUUUCUCCCUUAAUUUCUGUCAGUCUUUGUGUCAUGUAUUUUAGUGCUCUGUUAUUAAGUGCAAAUUGGUGUAUCUUCCUAAUGAGUUAAUUGUUUUAUUAUUACAAAAUGACUCUCAACUAGGUGUGGUGGCUCACACUUGUAAUUCCUACAUUUUGGGAGGCUAAGGUGGGCAGAUUGCUUGAGCUCAGGAAUUUGAAACUAACCUGGGCAACAUGGCAAAACCCCAUAACUACCAAAAAAUAUUCAAUUAUUAGCUGGGCAUGGUGGCAUUUGCCUGUAGUCCUAGUGACUCCAGAGACUGAGGUGGGAGGAUUGCUUGAGCCCAGGAGGCAGCGAUUGCAGUGAGCCAACAUUGUGCCACUGCACUGCAGCAGAGUGAGAGACCGUGUUUCAAAAUAAAAUAAAAUAGGGAGGGAUAGCAUUAGGAGAUAUACCUAAUGCUAAAUGACGAGUUAAUGGGUGCGGCACACCAGCAUGGCACAUGUAUACAUAUGUAACUAACCUGCACAUUGUGCACAUGUACCCUAAAACUUAAAGUAUAAUAAUAAAAAAAUAAAAUAAAAUAAAAAUUCUCAUUUCUAGUAACUUUUUUGUUUUAAAGUCUGUUUUAUCUCACAUUAGUAUAGUCACUCCAGCUUUCUUGUUGUUACUGUUCUCAUGAUAUUAUCUUUUUCCAUUCUUUUACUUUCAAUCUAUUUAUAUCUUUGAAUCUAAGUGAGUUUCCUCUAGACAGCCUAUACUUUGGAUCAUUUUAUUUGUGAAAGAAGCUUUGUUGGAUAUAGGAUUAUUGUUGGAUAUAGGAGUCUUGACUCACAGUUGUUGGUUUUUUUUUCUUUGAGCACUUUGAAUACAUUAUCCCACUGUUUUCUUACCUCUAUGGUUUCUGAGAAGCCAACUAUUAAUCUUAUUGGGGUUCCCUUAUAAAAUAAUGUCAUUUUUAUGUUGCUGCUUUCAUGAUUUUGUCCUUGUCUUCAACUUUUAGCAUUUUUUCUCUGAUGUAUCUGUUGUGGCUCUUUUCAUAUUUAACCUACUUGGAAUUCAUUGAGCUUCAUAUAUAUGUAGAUUUUUGCUUUUCAAUAAACUUGAGAAGUUUUCAGCCAUUAUUUCUUUGAAUAUUUUCUCUGCUCCUUUUUCUCCUUUGGUACUCCCAUUAUGUCUGCAUCAGUGUAAAUGAUGGUGUCCCACAUUUCUCUGGGCUUUCCAUUUUUCUUCUUUUUUCUCUUUGUUCUUUGGCUUACAUAGUCUCUAUGAAUCUACAAGUUUGCUUAUUCUUUCUUCUGACAAUUCAAAUCUACCAUUAAGCCUCUGAGUUUUUAAAAAUUAUAUUUAUUAUAACUUCUAAGUCCAAAAUUUCCAUUUGAUUCUUUUCUAUAAUUUCUUUUUCUUUAUUGAUAUUCUCUAGUUGAUGCAACAUUGUCGUACCUUUCUUUACUUCUCAAUCAUGUUUUCCUUUAGUUCUGUGAAUCUGUGGAUAAUGGCUAAUUUGAAGUCUCUUUUUUUUUUGUUAUAAAUCUGUUCUCACAGGCAGUUUCUGUUGUCUGCUUUUUUUCCUAGUGUAUGGGUCAUGCUGUUUCUUUGCAUGCCUUGUAAUUUUUUGUUGCAAUCUGGACAUAAUAGGUAAUAUAUUGUAGCAACUUUGUGUAUAGGUACUCCCCUCCCUCCAGGACUUAUUGUUAUCUGCUCAUUUAUUUGUUUAGUGACUGGCUGGGUUAUUUUAAUGAAAUGUAUUCCUGCAUCCUCCCUCCAGCGUAAAGCCUCUGUGUUGCUCCUCGGGGAGAUGCAGCAUCCUAUAGUCACCAUGGGGUAACACUGGUUUUGGUAAGGUUCUCUUCCUCUUCUUCCUUGACCACUCCCAGGAAUUAAACUUCACUAAUUCUUGCUGAUUGCUCUAUUGUUUUCAACAGUUAUCUGGUUUAUAAAUAGCUCUACACUGUAAUUCAAUCAAAUUCUGGCUCUUUUGAAGGAAUAGUUUCUGACGUUAGUGUUUGAUAUUUGUUCUAAUCCCCAGAGGGCUCCUCUAAGCUGUUUUAUUCCAUGGUUUUCCUGGAAACUAGGCAGCCUUCAGUUUGUCCUGCAUUCCAAAUCCCAGUUGGACUGUCCUCCCAGUUGACUUCUGUCACAAUCUCCAAUGUUCUUGAGAGCACCCUUAAGGUUGAAUGUCUCCACUAUCUGUUGGAGAUGAAGUCAGCUCCUUUGUGAAAGGAUUAAGAGUUUCCUGUUUUACAGCUUGCUUCUCACAUCAGGCAAAAUCUCUAAGCCAAAGCUCUGGAGUUGCAAGUGGGAAAAAUGGCAAACUUCUCUUUUAGUGAGCUGUAGAAGCUAAGUGCUUGAUAGAGGAUUGAGAGCAGCAGACUGAGGUCCUCUUGUCUUGCCUCUCCUGGUAAGGCAUGGAACCAUCACCUUUCCAGAUUGAGCAAGGGUGCUAAGGGGCCCAGUAUUCUCAAUGUGAUGAGUUCAAGGUAGAGCCUCUGUCCCAAUGGAAGAGGAGAGCCCCUGCCUCUCAACUGCACUAGCCCAGUGCUUAGCUUCAACAAUAGGUAGCUGAGGACAGGAUGAGAAACAGUGAUGUCUUGCUCUUUACAGGAAGGGGGCCCUCCAAGUGGAAGUUGAGGAAGGGGGAUAAGUUGGAGAGGGAGCCUGUGUUCUUGAUUAUAGCAGUCUGGAGUGAAGUCUGUCUUGCUGAGCUGGGAAGGGGGUGGGAGCAAGUGGUCUUGGUUUAUAUACCACAGAUGCUUUCCUUUCUUACAGAAUUUUCAGAUUUCCUUUGAUAUAUGUUUCUUCAUUUGCUGUUGGCCCUUAGGACUGUCUCCAUAGGCUUUAAGUGAUUUUUAAAAAUAUUUUUUAUCAGUUUCAUAUGAGAGCAGGCCAGUGGAGCUCCUCAUACUGUCAAGCCAGAAGUACUAUUCUUUCUUUUUGGAGACACAGUCAUGCUCUGUUGCCCAGGCUGGAGUGCAGUGGCACGAUCUCGGCUCACUGCAACCUCCACCUCCCGGGUUCAAGCAUUUCUCCUGUCUCAGCCUCCCGAGUAGCUGGGAUUACAGGCGUGAGCCACCAUGCCCAGCCAGAAGUACUAUUAUUUCUUAUAACUACAUAUGAAUCUAAAAUUAUCACAAAAGGAAACUUCUUUUAAGAAAAAGAAAAGAAUCAGAACAUAAAUAUACAGCAUGGCAAAACUACAUCUAAAACAAGUAUUAUAGGUCUCAUGGUGGAAAAAUUGGACCCACAAGAAAAGUUGUUAAUUAUCUCUGAUAUUCUGAACCAUUGAUAUCUGCAAAAUGAUUACUAGGUAUGUGCAAUGAAGGCUAUUGAUGUUACCCUGUAUAUCUGCACACUGUGUACAAAUGCUGUUAAAUGAUGUAAUAAAAAAUUAAAAAGGAAAUUAAUGAAUUCAUAUUUAAUAAAUUUUAAAAAUGGAGAAGGUAAGACUUUCUUACAGAAAAAUGCCAGUUGAAAUCAUUGAGAAAACUAGUAUCGGACAAUUACCACUUGCAGCCAUCAUAGUAAAAACUGAUAACAGGCAAAAAUCAUCACAUGAUAUAUUGAAGGGAAAAGUUUCAUGAGGAACAUGAUGUUUGCAUGGCCUGAAAGUAUAUCCUCACAGAUUGCUUACUAGUUGUAAGGGGAAAAAUAGCAACUACAUAGUGGUCAUACUAGAUGACACCUUGACCAGUUGGCUAUAAUUAAUAUCCUCAAUGAGGGGCAGAGAGCCAUCAUGUGUCUCUACAUGUAAUAAUCAAAAACACUUAUAAUGUCACUGAUAGUAUUUUGUCUGGUCUAACCUGCGUCUAAUCAUGAAGAAACAUCUGACAAACCAAAAUUAAGGAACAUAUUAUAAAAUAAGUGGCCUCGGUUCUUCAAAAACAUCAAUAUCAUAAAGACAAUGGCUGAAAAACAAUUCUAAAUUAAAGAAUAAAGGGACAUAACAUCUGAAUGCAUUAUGUGAUCCUAGACUGGAUAUUGAAUUUGGACAAUUGACAAAAUGUGAUAAGGACUGUAGAUUUUUAAAAAAGUAUUUUAUCGUGGCC